UUUUAUCUAGAAUAGCAGCAGGGACA
RNAcentral lists this non-coding RNA (26 nucleotides) under Mus musculus (house mouse). Lineage: Eukaryota; Metazoa; Chordata; Mammalia; Rodentia; Muridae. The record is from RNAcentral.